RNAcentral lists this ribosomal RNA (292 nucleotides) under uncultured bacterium. RNAcentral describes it as "partial 16S ribosomal RNA". The record is from RNAcentral.
GGACUACUAGGGUAUCUAAUCCUGUUUGCUCCCCACGCUUUCGCGCUCCAGUGUCAGGUAUAGGCCAAAAAGCUGCCUUCGCCAUCGGUGUUCCUCUUGAGAUCUACGCAUUUUACCGCUACUCCAAGAAUUCCACUUCUCUCUCCUAACCUCUAGUCAUGUAGUUUCGACCGCAUCCUCACAGUUGAGCCGUGAUCUUUAACAAUCGACUUACAUAACCACCUACACGCUCUUUACGCCCAGUUAUUCCGAAUAACGCUCGCUCCCUUCGUAUUACCGCGGCUGCUGGCAC